Molecule: ribosomal RNA, 252 nt
Filed under: uncultured bacterium
Lineage: Bacteria
Description: partial 16S ribosomal RNA
Rfam family: Bacterial small subunit ribosomal RNA
Source: RNAcentral
GACAGAGGAUGCAAGCGUUAUCCGGAAUGAUUGGGCGUAAAGCGUCUGUAGGUGGCUUUUUAAGUCCGCCGUCAAAUCCCAGGGCUCAACCCUGGACAGGCGGUGGAAACUACCAAGCUGGAGUACGGUAGGGGCAGAGGGAAUUUCCGGUGGAGCGGUGAAUGCGUAGAUAUCGGGAGGAACAUCAGUGGCGAAGGCGACCACCUGGCCCAACACUGACGCUGAGGUGCGAAAGCGUGGGUAGCAAACAGG